Molecule: transfer RNA, 76 nt
Filed under: Candidatus Woykebacteria bacterium RIFCSPHIGHO2_12_FULL_45_10
Lineage: Bacteria; Candidatus Woykeibacteriota
Description: tRNA-Asp
Rfam family: tRNA
About the family: Transfer RNA (tRNA) molecules are approximately 80 nucleotides in length. Their secondary structure includes four short double-helical elements and three loops (D, anti-codon, and T loops). Further hydrogen bonds mediate the characteristic L-shaped molecular structure. tRNAs have two regions of fundamental functional importance: the anti-codon, which is responsible for specific mRNA codon recognition, and the 3' end, to which the tRNAs corresponding amino acid is attached (by aminoacyl-tRNA synthetases). tRNAs cope with the degeneracy of the genetic code in two manners: having more than one tRNA (with a specific anti-codon) for a particular amino acid; and 'wobble' base-pairing, i.e. permitting non-standard base-pairing at the 3rd anti-codon position.
Source: RNAcentral
GGACCCGUGGUGUAGCGGUUAACAUGCCUCUCUGUCGAAGAGGAGAUCGCCGGUUCGAAUCCGGUCGGGUCCGCCA